AAGAUUUGGUAGCAAUACUGAAUCCUAGAGUGGCGCACGGGUGAGUAACGCGUACAUGACAUACCUAUAAGCGAGGGAUAGCAUUGGGAAACUGGUAGUAACCCCUCAUGUGAUUAUUUGUAAUAAAGGUAAAUAAUUAAAACUACGGUGCUUAUAGAUUGGUGUGCGUCUGAUUAGCUAGUUGGCGAGGUAUCGGCUCACCAAGGCGACGAUCAGUAGGGGGCGUGAGAGCGUGAACCCCCACACGGGUACUGAGACACGGACCCGACUCCUACGGGAGGCAGCAGUAAGGAAUAUUGGUCAAUGGAGGGAACUCUGAACCAGCCAUGCCGCGUGCAGGAUGAAAGCCCUCUGGGUUGUAAACUGCUUUUAACAGGGAAGAAAAUGCUAUACGUGAUAUAGUACUGACGGUACCUGAGGAAUAAGCACCGGCUAACUCCGUGCCAGCAGCCGCGGUAAUACUGAGGGUGCAAGCGUUAUCCGGAAUCACUGGGUUUAAAGGUGCGUAGGCGGUUUAUAAGUCAGUGGUAAAAGGUUGUAGCUCAACUAUAAGAGGUCCAUUGAUACUGU
Molecule: ribosomal RNA, 570 nt
Filed under: uncultured bacterium
Lineage: Bacteria
Description: bacterial SSU rRNA
Rfam family: Bacterial small subunit ribosomal RNA
Source: RNAcentral